GGAGCCAGAGCCACCCAAUCCCGUAGGGACAGGUUUCACAACUUCCCGGAUGGGGCUGUGGUGGGUCACAGUGCAGCCUCCAGCCAGAAGGAUGGGGUGGCUCCCACUCCUGCUGCUUCUGACUCAAUGCUUAGGGGUCCCUGGGCAGCGCUCGCCAUUGAAUGACUUCUAGGUGCUCCGGGGCACAGAGCUACAGCGCCGCUACAAGCGGUGGUGCCCGGGCCUUGGCAGGAGGAUGUGGCAGAUGCUGAAGAGUGUGCUGGUCGCUGUGGGCCCUUAAUGGACUGCCGGGCGUUCCACUACAAUGUGAGCAGCCAUGGUUGCCAACUGCUGCCAUGGACUCAACACUCACCCCACACGAGGCUGCGGCAUUCUGGGCGCUGUGACCUCUUCCAGGAGAAAGGCGAGUGGGGGUGGAGAGGGGCAGGGUGGGAGACAGGGGACCUCAGCCCAAGUUGAUCUUCUGUCUCUUGCUCCCAGACUACAUACGGACCUGCAUCAUGAACAAUGGGGUUGGGUACCGGGGCACCAUGGCCACGACCGUGGGUGGCCUGUCCUGCCAGGCUUGGAGCCACAAGUUCCCGAACGAUCACCAGUACAUGCCCACGCUCCGGAAUGGCCUGGAAGAGAACUUCUGCCGUAACCCUGAUGGCGACCCCGGAG
This 663-nucleotide long non-coding RNA is filed under the name Homo sapiens (human). RNAcentral's name for it is "non-protein coding lnc-CROCC-3:3". The record is from RNAcentral. Lineage: Eukaryota; Metazoa; Chordata; Mammalia; Primates; Hominidae.